GUAGUUUUAAAUUUAGGGUGCUUAGUAUUAAGAUCACUACCCAAGCCUUUCUUCAUGCUAAGCCAAUACCAUGUCAAAAACUGUAGUAGGUUUGUUAUGCUAUCUAUAAGUUAUACAUGAGGAUUGAUGUGGGGUUGUCUUAGUACAUUUUGAUGCAUAUGGCAUGCUUGGUAGUGUUGUUUUAUUGUGCUAUCCAUAAUGUUGCCUAGUUAGACAACCCAAGUGGGGGCGA
Molecule: long non-coding RNA, 232 nt
Filed under: Elaeis guineensis (African oil palm)
Lineage: Eukaryota; Viridiplantae; Streptophyta; Magnoliopsida; Arecales; Arecaceae
Description: long non-coding RNA (EGUI_LNC038967)
Source: RNAcentral